This 478-nucleotide ribosomal RNA is filed under the name uncultured bacterium. RNAcentral's name for it is "partial 16S ribosomal RNA". It matches the Rfam family "Bacterial small subunit ribosomal RNA", at positions 28 to 523 of the family's 1533-position model. The record is from RNAcentral.
GACGAACGCUGGCGGCGUGCUUAACACAUGCAAGUCGAACGGUAAGGCCCUUCGGGGUACACGAGUGGCGAACGGGUGAGUAACACGUGGGUGAUCUGCCCUGCACUUCGGGAUAAGCCUGGGAAACUGGGUCUAAUACCGGAUAGGACCACUGCCUGCAUGGGUGGUGGUGGAAAGCUUUUGCGGUGUGGGAUGGGCCCGCGGCCUAUCAGCUUGUUGGUGGGGUGAUGGCCUACCAAGGCGACGACGGGUAGCAGGCCGGAGAGGGUGACCGGCCACACUGGGACUGAGAUACGGCCCAGACUCCUACGGGAGGCAGCAGUGGGGAAUAUUGCACAAUGGGCGCAAGCCUGAUGCAGCGACGCCGCGUGAGGGAUGACGGCCUUCGGGUUGUAAACCUCUUUCAGCGCCGACGAAGCGCAAGUGACGGUAGGUGCAGAAGAAGGACCGGCCAACUACGUGCCAGCAGCCGCGGUAA